Molecule: ribosomal RNA, 250 nt
Filed under: uncultured bacterium
Lineage: Bacteria
Description: partial 16S ribosomal RNA
Rfam family: Bacterial small subunit ribosomal RNA
Source: RNAcentral
UACGUAGGGUGCGAGCGUUAAUCGGAAUUACUGGGCGUAAAGCGUGCGCAGGCGGUUCGUUGUGUCGGCGGUGAAAGCCCCGGGCUCAACCUGGGAAUGGCCGUUGAAACUGGCGAACUGGAGUGUGGCAGAGGGGGUGGAAUUCCGCGUGUAGCAGUGAAUGCGUAGAGAUGCGGAGGAACACCGAUGGCGAAGGCAGCCCCCUGGGCUAACACUGACGCUCAGGCACGAAAGCGUGGGAGCAAACAGG